UUCUGGUUGAUCCCGCCGGACCUGACUGCUAUCGGAUUGAUACUAAGCCAUGCGAGUCGUUGUAGCAAUACAAGGCAUACGGCUCAGUAACGCGUAGUCAACCUAACCUAUGGACGGGAAUAACCUCGGGAAACUGAGAAUAAUGCCCGAUAGAACAUUAUGCCUGGAAUGGUUUAUGUUCCAAAUGAUUUAUCGCCAUAGGAUGGGACUGCGGCCUAUCAGUUUGUUGGUGAGGUAAUGGCCCACCAAGACUAUUACAGGUACGGGCUCUGAGAGGAGUAGCCCGGAGAUGGGUACUGAGACACGGACCCAGGCCCUAUGGGGCGCAGCAGGCGAGAAAACUUUGCAAUGUGCGAAAGCACGACAAGGUUAAUCCGAGUGAUUUCUGCUAAAGAGAUCUUUUGUUAGUCCUAGAAACACUAACGAAUAAGGGGUGGGCAAGUUCUGGUGUCAGCCGCCGCGGUAAAACCAGCACCUCAAGUGGUCAGGAUGAUUAUUGGGCCUAAAGCAUCCGUAGCCGGCUCUGUAAGUUUUCGGUUAAAUCUGUACGCUCAACGUACAGGCUGCCGGAAAUACUGCAGAACUAGGGAGUGGGAGAGGUAGACGGUACUCGGUAGGAAGUGGUAAAAUGCUUUGAUCUAUCGAUGACCACCUGUGGCGAAGGCGGUCUACCAGAACACGUCCGACGGUGAGGGAUGAAAGCUGGGGGAGCAAACCGGAUUAGAUACCCGGGUAGUCCCAGCUGUAAACUAUGCAAACUCAGUGAUGCAUUGGCUUGUGGCCAAUGCAGUGCUGCAGGGAAGCCGUUAAGUUUGCCGCCUGGGAAGUACGUACGCAAGUAUGAAACUUAAAGGAAUUGGCGGGGGAGCACCACAAGGGGUGAAGCCUGCGGUUCAAUUGG
This 901-nucleotide ribosomal RNA is filed under the name uncultured archaeon. RNAcentral describes it as "bacterial SSU rRNA". It matches the Rfam family "Archaeal small subunit ribosomal RNA", at positions 1 to 909 of the family's 1478-position model. The record is from RNAcentral.